UACAAUUGCUUGAUGCGGGUGGUCCUUC
This 28-nucleotide non-coding RNA is filed under the name Mus musculus (house mouse). Lineage: Eukaryota; Metazoa; Chordata; Mammalia; Rodentia; Muridae. The record is from RNAcentral.